Molecule: ribosomal RNA, 423 nt
Filed under: Triticum aestivum (bread wheat)
Lineage: Eukaryota; Viridiplantae; Streptophyta; Magnoliopsida; Poales; Poaceae
Description: partial small subunit ribosomal RNA
Source: RNAcentral
AUGGAGAGACUUGUUAAUGUUCAUUACAUUGACAAGGAGGCAUUCUUGAGUAACAAUGCCGACACGGGUGAGGAACCAUUGGUUUUUGAUACAAGCCCUAGCUAUGAGGAUGUUGUUGCAAAAGUGAGACAAGUUUUGAAGUGGAUGGACACCAAUGUUGAUGUUAAGUUAAUAGGAAGGUAUGAUGUUGGAGUUGGAGCCAAAUCUCGCUUGAAAAGUAUGCCUAUCACCUCGGAUUUGCAUUGGGAUGUAUACAAGGAAAAAGUAUCCCAAUCGGAAGACAAGUCACUUGAAUUGUUUGCCACCAAGGUUAAAUCUCCUCGGUUUACCUUUGAUUUGAACCGGUAUGUCUCUUCCCCAAUGGAUGACAUGAGCGUUGAGUUGUAUGCCCCCAAUGCUUCUAGCCAACCACCAACUAGCCAA